UAACACAGCAUAACUUUCUAACAUUACACAUAUAAUAUUCAUUGUAAUAUUUGAGAAAAGCCAAUCAUAAAAUAUGCAUUUUUCACACUUUGCUCUUGCUGCUGAGGCACUGGCCAUGGAAAGGGCACAAAGGAAGAGUUCCCAGUCACAGGGACUGCUGGGGCCUGGUGGGAUUUUUAAUGAGUUCUGGUUCCUGUGCAUCAUUAACUAGCCCAGGGAAGCGCAGUGCAUCCCCACCAGCACGCUCCUGUUAUGCAGGGUAGAAAUCCAGGCUCACAGAUAAUUUGAAAAGAUCUCCUAAAGACACCUGCAGAUUCUGGCAGGCAGUAGCUCCUCGCAGCUGUUUCCCACCCCCUCUCUUUCCAAGGCAUUGUGUGGUAAACUGGAACACUCUGUUCUCCUCAGGCAUUUUAUUGACAUAGCAGAGGAGCUUGUCAGGAAGAGCAUUUCUCAGGUACUUGGUACUGAAGUUCCUCAGAUGCUGACUGCCUCCAUUUUAGCUGGAAUUGGUUUCCAGGGUGUCCCACCCCCUUGGGGCUUUUUGUCUAAACUGUGGGAUCCCCCUGGCUCGCUGUGAUCUCAUCUCACCAAGAGCCUUUCUCUUCAUAACCCUCUGUCAAAUAUCCCUGUUUUGAGGGUUCCCUUCCUGCCUGAAGGUAAAGUCACUUUGAAAUGGUUUUCCUGUGCAAAGGUCCAAUUGAAGUAGCUAUUAAUUUUCCAAAGUGCAGUCACUGGCCAUGAUAUCUAAUGGUUGCUUUGUAAAUGUCCUCAGAGUGGGGAGAGAUGCAUAAUUGAGGCUUCUAAAGCUCGUGACUGACUCACUGUGCGUGGAUGUGCUUGGGGCUUUAUCCACUCCAUAACCUGGAGGCAUAAAUAGACUCACAAAUCAUUGCAUAACGGGGCCUUGCCUGCAAUUUAGAAUAAAGGUCUCUCAGCACAGCCACUAAUGCAUUUUGUGAACUUGGAUGACCUCUGUUGACCUCAUUUUUUAGUUUCUAAAAUGGAAAAUAGUAGUAUUUUGCCAAGGUAACGUUUACAGAGGUGAAGCCUUUUGUUAAAUGCUUUGCAAUUCACAGGUUAAGUGAUUUGGAGACAGAAGUGUAUUUAAAUUGUUAC
Non-coding RNA from Lonchura striata (white-rumped munia), 1116 nucleotides. The record is from RefSeq and is a predicted model, not a curated record. Lineage: Eukaryota; Metazoa; Chordata; Aves; Passeriformes; Estrildidae.